UACGUAGGGGGCGAGCGUUAAUCGGAAUUACUGGGCGUAAAGUGUGCGCAGGCGGCAGAGCAAGUCGAGUGUGAAAGCCCCGGGCUUAACUUGGGAAUUGCGCUCGAAACUACUUUGCUGGAGUGUGGCAGAGGAAGGUGGAAUUCCACGUGUAGCGGUGAAAUGCGUAGAGAUGUGGAGGAACACCAAUGGCGAAGGCAGCCUUCUGGGCCAACACUGACGCUCAUGCACGAAAGCGUGGGGAGCAAACAGG
RNAcentral lists this ribosomal RNA (253 nucleotides) under uncultured bacterium. RNAcentral describes it as "partial 16S ribosomal RNA". It matches the Rfam family "Bacterial small subunit ribosomal RNA", at positions 524 to 776 of the family's 1533-position model. The record is from RNAcentral.